UUCUGGUUGGCUUGAGAGACCUUGUGCAGCCAGGACUGGGGGAGCUCGAUGGGAGGGGGGGUGGAGCUCUGCGGUGUCGCUGGCACAGUGGGAGAAGGGACGGAACGGGCAGGCUCACCGGAUGUUACCGUGGAGUCGGCCGGCUGCGACGCGUCUCCACCGUGGAAUCACACUGGGGUCCGGAAGGCGAACGGGCGGUCGGACUGUCAUCAUCCAGCGCCAUCUGCUCCGCAUCUGUGGCUGCACCAAGCUUUAAUAAGCAAGGAAAGGGAGAAGACAAGAGGAACACUGAGAGAUGGAAGGGUGUAUCUGAAGGGUCUGCGCUCACCACCGUCUGCUGGUUGACCUGGAUGACUUCAUCUCCAGCAUGGAUCUUUCCCGUUCGGUCUGCGGGAGACUGGAAAGCAGAAGAACAGAUAAAACAUGAUUACCAGGAGAACAGCAGUAUCCCAUCAGAAAUUUCGACUUAUGACCAUCUGAAACACAAUCACAUGAGUCUUCUGUUUUAUUCUUGGUCAUGUGACACUGAGUUAUACAUUUCUAUACAUUUUAUACUGUGGACUUAAUUCUUCUCUUGACCAAGGUGUCGCUCAGUCAGGGAACAAAACGUCUUUGUGCAGAACAUAUUUUUCUUGAGGAACCCACAGCAUUCUAGUACUAACCAUUUUGGUAAAUAAAAGUCCUUGUAGAGGCUGCUUGUUAUAACAUGUGUAAUACUAGUUCCUCUAUGUGUUAUAUAAGGAUAAUAAAAUGUUGGAAAAAGCGUGGAAGCUGAUACCAUAGUGGUUA
Molecule: long non-coding RNA, 789 nt
Organism: Scleropages formosus (Asian bonytongue)
Lineage: Eukaryota; Metazoa; Chordata; Actinopteri; Osteoglossiformes; Osteoglossidae
Exons: 3
Source: RefSeq, a predicted model, not a curated record